Molecule: ribosomal RNA, 253 nt
Filed under: uncultured bacterium
Lineage: Bacteria
Description: partial 16S ribosomal RNA
Rfam family: Bacterial small subunit ribosomal RNA
Source: RNAcentral
UACAGAGGGUGCGAGCGUUAAUCGGAAUUACUGGGCGUAAAGCGCACGUAGUCGGCUUUGCAAGUCGGGUGUGAAAUCCCCGGGCUCAACCUGGGAACUGCAUCCGAGACUGCAUUGCUAGAGUAUGGGAGAGGGAAGCGGAAUUUCCGGUGUAGCGGUGAAAUGCGUAGAUAUCGGAAGGAACACCAGUGGCGAAAGCGGCUUCCUGGUCCAGCACCGACGUUCAGGCACGAAAGCGUGGGGAGCAAACAGG